CUGGAAUUUCCCCCCACCACGAGUCACGACAUUGCAGUGGUGAGUGCUUUGUGCUGCGAGCAGAAGAAAGAAAUUCAUACAGGUUUGAAACAACAUGAGGACCACAGAUCUAACUACUUAUAGAAGGUCUGCUGUUCUUCGUGGUCUUCCCCUGUACUUGAGAGAGCCAGCUUCAAUUUCAAAGACUAUUAAGGUAAUAAAUUUGAAUAUCUUUAUUAUGGUAUUACUGUUUGUGAUGCAGUAGUGAUUGCAUAAGACAUUAUGCUUUCAGUCUGACACUAAAAGUCUUU
This is a long non-coding RNA of Cyprinus carpio (common carp), 290 nucleotides long. RefSeq lists it as uncharacterized. The transcript is spliced from 3 exons. The record is from RefSeq and is a predicted model, not a curated record. NCBI's taxonomy places the organism in Eukaryota, Metazoa, Chordata, Actinopteri, Cypriniformes, Cyprinidae.